GUUCUGAGGAUUGCCCGACGCACAAAUAGUUCUUUGCUCAAUUAAAUGCUGUUACAUUUAAUUUGUCUAAAGCUUUUCUUUUAACAGAUGUUUAUAAGAUAGGUGUUCAUAAGCAAGAGAAUGUAACUCUAUUUGCCUUUAAAUACUUGUUAUGAAGAAGUUAUAUUUGCAAAGUUCUAAGAAAGCUGCAAUCACUUGCUGUUGCCGGAAACUGCCUUGUGGCCUGGCGUCCUGGGAAUUUGCUUGGCUUUUUGUGGCCGCCAUCCAAAACUGGGAACCACAAGUCAAAGUUUUCCUUGUAGAAAUAUUUCACCUCGGCCGCCCGGGAGGCAGCGGCUGGAGGAGCGGACGGGCC
RNAcentral lists this long non-coding RNA (355 nucleotides) under Homo sapiens (human). RNAcentral's name for it is "HSALNT0403206". Lineage: Eukaryota; Metazoa; Chordata; Mammalia; Primates; Hominidae. The record is from RNAcentral.